This is a non-coding RNA of Acanthosepion pharaonis, 103 nucleotides long. NCBI's taxonomy places the organism in Eukaryota, Metazoa, Mollusca, Cephalopoda, Sepiida, Sepiidae. The record is from the annotation of a GenBank genome assembly.
UCACGUUGAAACCUCGGUUCCUGUACGAUCACCGAAGUUAAGCAACGUCGAGUCUGGUCAGUUCCUAGAAAGGUGACCGCUUCGGAAUACCAAGUGCUGUAAG